RNAcentral lists this non-coding RNA (23 nucleotides) under Arabidopsis thaliana (thale cress). The record is from RNAcentral. Lineage: Eukaryota; Viridiplantae; Streptophyta; Magnoliopsida; Brassicales; Brassicaceae.
ACGUCCUUCCAAACCCGUUCCGC